RNAcentral lists this unclassified non-coding RNA (240 nucleotides) under soil metagenome. RNAcentral's name for it is "partial contains 5.8S ribosomal RNA, internal transcribed spacer 2, and large subunit ribosomal RNA". The record is from RNAcentral.
AAGACUAUAGACCUGCGGAGUACCUGCGGAGGGAUCAUUACAGGACUCGCAAGACUCCUACAACCCUGUGAACUUAACUAUAAGCACGUUGCUUCGGCGGGUGUCUCGGCGAGGGUUCUCCCUCCCCGGGGCGCUAAGCCCGCCGGCAGCCUACUAUACUCUGUCUCUUUGCGUUGGCAUCUCGAGUACAAACAAACAAGUUAAAACUUUCAGCAACGGAUCUCUAGAUCGGAAGAGCAC